AAGGACUUAGGAUAAUACAGACCAUGAGCCUUCAAAGCUCCAAGUAGGAGUGAAAAUCUCCUAGUCCUUG
This 70-nucleotide transfer RNA is filed under the name Tenualosa thibaudeaui (Mekong herring). RNAcentral describes it as "tRNA-Trp". It matches the Rfam family "tRNA". Rfam says of the family: Transfer RNA (tRNA) molecules are approximately 80 nucleotides in length. Their secondary structure includes four short double-helical elements and three loops (D, anti-codon, and T loops). The record is from RNAcentral. Lineage: Eukaryota; Metazoa; Chordata; Actinopteri; Clupeiformes; Clupeidae.